Molecule: long non-coding RNA, 902 nt
Filed under: Setaria viridis
Lineage: Eukaryota; Viridiplantae; Streptophyta; Magnoliopsida; Poales; Poaceae
Description: long non-coding RNA (SVIR_LNC001031)
Source: RNAcentral
GUAAACACAAUCAACCACAACCACCAAACGGAAAAGGCACGGCGCACGGGAACGGGAACGACAGCACUGCCUCUUGCCUAGGCCAUCAGGGCGAGGCCGACGAGCCCCGCGGCGCCCGCCAGCACGCCCAUCGCGAGCGGUGCCUCCCCGGCGCUGGCCCCGCCGGUGCUGCUCGGGGUGGCCCUGGUCGUGGGCGCCGUCGUGGGCGUGGACGGCGUUGUCGUCGUCUCCGGAGGAGUGUCGUCGUCGGAGCCGGGCGCGGCGGGCGUCGUGGCGGGCGGGGACGACGCCGCCGGGGCGGUGGCGUCCGCGGCGGCGACCGUGACGGCGACCUUCAUGCCGCCGCUGCAGUGGCCCGGGGUGCCGCAGAUGAAGUAGCGCGUGCCGGGCGCAGUGAGCGCGAUCUUGGUGUUCUGGUCGCUGUACGACUGCAGGGAGUUGCUGGCCGAGCACGCGCUGUAGUCCGCCGAGCUCACCUCCGCCACCGUGUGCAUCGCGCUGUACUGGAACACUGCAUGCGUCCGUGCAACUUUGUCAGUCUCAGCGACUCAGCGAGAGAGAGGGAAAAAAAAUCUGCCUCUACAAUUCGCAACCACAGUGCGGCCGACAUGUGGGCCAUGUUAUGGGAUUGGGCUUGAGGCUAGUUCUUACCCAGGUUGUCGCCAACACUGAAGGUCUUGCCUUUCGCCCAGGUGGUGUAGUCCACACCGCUGGUCCACCCGGACGAGCCGCCGACCACGUAAUCCGUAGCGUACGCCGGAGCGGCGGCGACGGCGAGGAGUACCAGGCCGGCAAUAACUAGAGUGCCAGCCAUGAUUACAGCUUCAAGAACAAGGGUGGGUCUGCAAUCUAGGCAGAUGAGUACACUGUUGCAGGAGGCUCAGCUUUGGGCAGUGAUGAGU